This 17943-nucleotide long non-coding RNA is filed under the name Prunus persica (peach). RNAcentral describes it as "long non-coding RNA (PPER_LNC005025)". Lineage: Eukaryota; Viridiplantae; Streptophyta; Magnoliopsida; Rosales; Rosaceae. The record is from RNAcentral.
GCCUUGGUGCAAUAAGAACUUAAGCAUUAGCUUCAUGUAUGUAGGAAAAGUAGCAAAUAAUUUCAAUUGUAAAAUGAAUGCUUUGGUUUCUUUUCUUGUUAAUGCCGUUUGACUGGUUGUUUUGUCUUAGUGGUUCUUUGACCUCUCUUUGGUCUUUUUAUUGAAAGUUAUGUUGAGAAACUGAAAUUAACUUAAACGUAAAAGGAUUUUUUGAGUAAACAUAUUUCACAGCAUAAGAAUACUGCAGUUUUCCUCUCUUAUAUAUAUCUGAAAAACAAAGCUUACAAAAUAACAAUCUCCACAAUAACCACUAACACACAAGUGCAGAUUUUGUGGAGUUCAACUACCUUAAGCAACGGAAGCAAAUUUGAACGUGGUGAACAGACUAAACCACAACUUCUACAUUCUAGGACUUCAGCUUGACUUGGUCUCUACAUGGCCAUGUCAGCAUUAUUUAAUUAAAAAACUAAUUAAACUUAACUAAAUAACUUUUAACACCCUCCCUUAAACUGAUUUUUACGAAAAACAGUUUAGGAUCUCUACACCAUCACAUAAUCAUCUUCCUGUUCAAUGCUUUGAAAUGAACAAACUCCCAACAUGCUUCUCAGCUUCUCAAGCGCAGGUACCAUCACAUAAUCAUCUUCCUGUUCAAUGCUUUGAAAUGAACAAACUCCCAACAUGCUUCUCAGCUUCUCAAACGCAGGUUGCUUCAAAGGCUUAGUUAAGAUGUCUGCAACCUGCUCCCCACUCUUGCAAUAUUCAAGUACAAUCUUCCCAUCACUGCACAGGUCACGCAAAAAAUGAAAACGUACAUCAAUGUGUUUACUUCUCCCAUGCAUGACUGGAUUCCUCGAUAGCUUUAUAGUUGACAUGUUGUCGCAGUAGAUGGUUGUUGGUCCCUUUUGAACAUCACCAAGCACUUCAAAUAUUUUCCUAAGCGACAUAGCUUGACAGGAGCUUGCAGCUGCUGCUACAUAUUCAGCUUCUGUUGAGGAAAGUGUCACAAUUUGUUGCUUCUUUGAGGACCACGAUAUUGCACCAGAGUUGAGCAGAAAUGUGUGACCGGAAGUGCUCUUACGAUCAUCUAUAUCACCUGCAUAGUCACUAUCUGUGUACCCAACAAAACCAGAACCAUCUUCCCUUUUAUAAAACACACCAUAAUCAAUUGUCCCCUUUACAUACCUGAGAAUUCUCUUUGCUGCAUUGAGAUGCAUUUCAGUUGGUUUUUCCAUAUAUCGGCUCACAAGACUCACUGCAUACAUGAUGUCAGGCCUCGUGUAUGUUAAAUACAUGAGACUCCCAAUUAUCUGUUUAUAGAAAGUGCUGUCAACCUCCUUUCCACCUUUGUCUUUGCAUAGCUUUAAGCCAUGUUCAGCUGGAGUUCCAAAUGGCUUGCAGUCAUCCAUCUGAAACCUGUUAAGAAUGUCCUGUGCAUAUUUUUUCUGGUAGAUGAAAUUACCAGCAGUAGUUUGAAUGACUUCCAAUCCAAGAAAAUAGUGCAUUAAUCCUAGAUCAGUCAUUUCAAACUCCAUCAUCAUAGACUUCUUGAAUUCAUCAAACAUUUUAGCAUCACUUCCAGUGAAUAUCAAGUCAUCAACAUACAAGCAUACCAUGAGUAUUUUACCUUCUUCCUCAGUCUUGACAUAAAGUGUGUGCUCAAAAGGACAUUUGUGAAAUCCAAGCUUAGCAAAGUGAGCAUCUAUGCGACUGUACCAAGCUCGAGGUGCUUGUUUCAGUCCAUAGAGUGUUUUCUUCAGUUUGAACACCUUCUCUUCUUCUCCUUUUCUCUCAUAACCAGGUGGUUGAUCAAUGUACACCUCCUCUUGCAGGUUUCCAUGCAGGAAUGCUGACUUCACGUCUAACUGAAAAAUUUGCCAGGAAUUUUGAGCUGCAAGAGAGAUCACUAACCUAAUCGUGUCGUGCCUCGCAACUGGGGCAAACACCUCUUUGUAAUCAAUGCCAUGCUUCUGCUUGUAGCCCUUAGCUACCAAACGAGCUUUGUGCUUGUCAACCUCACCUUUUUCGUUCAACUUUGUUCUAAACACCCAUUUAACACCAAUGGUUUGCUUUCCCUUUGGAAGAUCAGUUAACUCCCAGGUUUGAUUCUUCUCAAUGGACUUGAUUUCAUUGUCCAUUGCUUCCCUCCAUUUCUCCUCUUUAACAGCCUCAGUAUAUGUGAUUGGAUCACUAUCUACAAGUAAUGCAAAGUGAGCAUUUUCAUCAUCAGAACUUGAAUAACUUACAUCGUAGUCCAUCAUCCAUGCUGGCCUCUUCCUUGAGUUCUCAUCUCUCAAAUUGUAUCUCUCUUCUUCAAACUGUUGAGAUGACUGAACUUCAAGUUGAGGUGGCUGCUGGGCUUGAGUUUCAGGAGCUGCUACCUCUUCAUUGUCUAAAUCAUCAUAAACUGGAAUUUGUUGUUGAACCGAUCUGUUCUCAGACCAAUUCCACAUAGUGUCUUCAUCAAAUAUCACAUCCCUGCUUACCACUAUCUUCUUUGUAACUGGAUUGUACAGUUUGUAUGCUUUUGAGACUUCACUUACACCAAGAAAAACACAUUUUUCACUUUUGUCAUCCAACUUCUUUCUUUUCUCAUCGGGGAUGUGUGCAUAUGCUAUGCACCCAAACACCCUAAAGUGAUCAACCGCAGGCUUCAAUCCACUCCAAGCUUCUUGAGGAGUCAUAUUCUUAACAGAAAAUGUGGGACUUCUGUUUAAAAUAUGAACUGACCAUAGCACAGCUUCAGGCCAAAACUUCUUGGGAAUUCUUCCUUUGACUAGCAGACUUCGAACCAUGUUGAGAAUGGUGCGAUUUUUCCUCUCACUUACACCAUUUUGUUGUGGUGUAUAGGCAGUGGUCAACUGUCUCUUGAUGCCUUUCUCUUUGCAAAAUGCAUCAAAUUCCUUCGAACAGUACUCUCCCCCACGGUCAGUUCUUAGAGUUUUAAUCUUCUUUUCUGAUUCAUUUUCAACUAGAGCUUUGAAGCUUUUGAAUGCUUCAAAUGCCUCUGAUUUUUCCUGCAAGAAAUAUACCCAUGUCUUUCUACUAAAAUCAUCAGUAAAGGAGAUGAAAUAUUUCUUGUUACCAUUUGAGAUGGGAUUUAUUGGUCCACAUAGAUCAGAGUGAACCAUCUCCAGGAUUUAUUGAGCCCUUGCUGCCUUGCCACUUGGAAAAGAGUCUCUUUUGUGCUUCCCAGUGAUGCAUUCUUCACACAUCUUUGAUGGAGGAGUUAUAUCAGGUAAGCCAGUGACCAUCCCUUUCUGGUGAAGUGUUCUCAAGCCAUUAAAAUUCAAAUGGCCAUAUCUGUAGUGCCAUCUCCACGGGUCAUCUUCUUUGGCAAAUAAGCAAGCCUGCAGAGUCUUGAUUUUCAAAGGAAACAAUCUGUUGGAAGACAUUUUCACAACAGCAAUGGACCCUCUUUUUGGGUCGUACACUUCCCACUCUCCUUUAUAGAUUGUAAUCCUAUAGCCUUUAUCUUGUAACUGACCAGCACUCAGCAAAUUUGUCUUCAAAUCAGGAAUAUAAAAAACAUUUGAGAUAGUUUCAAUAAAGUCAUUUUUAGUUUUGAUUUGAAUAUCUCCCUUACCCAUCACUUUCACUGUUGACUUGUCACCAAAACUCACUACCGUGUGAAAGCUUUCAUCCAAAUUAAUAAAGGAAGACUUACAUCCACUCAUGUGAUUGCUGCAGCCUGUGUCCACAUACCAUGUCUCCUGAUCAGUUUUUGUCAGUGCAUGAAAAGCCAUCAAAAGUGUCUCUUCCUCCUUCUUUUUCUCCACAAAAUUUGACUUUUCUCCUUUUUCUUUUGGUAACUUCGUGUAGCACUCAUUCUUGUAGUGCCCAAAAUUUCCACAUCUAUAACACUCCACUUUUGACUUAUCAAAGUGGUACGUUCCUUUUUCUUCAAAGUCAUCAUCUCUUUUGAAAACAUGAGAUGACUUGCUGUCAUCUCUAUGUCCAGACCGUCCACCUCCUCGAUGACCUCGACCACCUCUUCCUCUAUCACGUCCACCUCUUCCACGACCUCUUCCUCCUCGAGAACUUGAGGACUCAGAAACAAUGGAAGCUUUCAGAGCUGUUUGUUCUUCACUGGCAGUGGUGCGGUUAAGUCUUUGUUCAUGCACUAACAAAGAGCUUUGUAGUUCAUCAACUCGUAACUCAGCAACGUUCUUUGCCUCUUCAAUUGAACAGACAAUGUAGUCAAAUUUUGGAGUCAAUGAUCUCAUAAUUUUCUCCACAACUUUGACUUCUUCCAUGGUGCCACCAUUGGAUCUCAUCUUGCUUGCUAUUCCCAGAGUUCUAGCAAAGAAAUCAGUGAUGGACUCUCCUGAUUUCAUUUGUAAAGUUUCGAAGUCCCUUGUUAGAGUUUGAAGCACUGCACGCUUCACCCUCUCUGACCCUGCAUAUUUCUUCUUCAAAGAAUCCCAUAUUUGUUUGGAGGUCUCCUUCUCGAGUAUCGUCUCCAAGAUAGAUCGAUCAAGUGCCUGAAAAAGGUAAUUUUUCACCCUCAAGUCCUUCAGCUUCUGUUCAGCAACCCUCUUUUGUUGUUGUUCAGUCAACACAACUCCCUCUGCUGGGGCGUCAAUUCCUGAUUCCACAAGAUUCCAAUACUCCUUUGACCUGAGAAAAUUUUCCAUCAGCAUGCUCCAAUGGUCGUAGUGACCAUCAAAUCGUGGAAUCGCUGGUUGAAUAAAACUCUCAGUGGCUUUCUCUGUUGCCAUUGUUUCUUGCUGCUGCAAGACACAAUCUUUCACCUUUUUUUCAAGUUUGUUCAGGCCCAGAAGAGCUCUGAUACCAGAUGUUGAGAAACUGAAAUUAACUUAAACGUAAAAGGAUUCUUUGAGUAAACAUAUUUCACAGCAUAAGAAUACUGCAGUUUUCCUCUCUUAUAUACAUCUGAAAAACAAAGCUUACAAAAUAACAAUCUCCACAAUAACCACUAACACACAAGUGCAGAUUUUGUGGAGUUCAACUACCUUAAGCAACGGAAGCAAAUUUGAACGUGGUGAACAGACUAAACCACAACUUCUACAUUCUAGGACUUCAGCUUGACUUGGUCUCUACAUGGCCAUGUCAGCAUUAUUUAAUUAAAAAACUAAUUAAACUUAACUAAAUAACUUUUAACAAGUUAAUCAAAUAAAAUAAAAAUAAAACAACAAUUAGAAGGGUUGCAAUUAGAUAGGCUUGCUAGGCUCCAAGAGGUGCAAGACUGUCUUUUGAUUAAAGUUCAAGCUCCCAAGUCCAAAUUUGGGGCACCAACUAGCCUAUCUCAUUGCAGGCGCUUAACACUUGAAGGGACUGGCGCAAUGAUUUACUAGUAAAAUUUGUAAUAGCUUAAGACUUCGCUAGUAUCAUUUAGUAGUUACAAAUCACUUUACUUCGCCAGUAGUGAGUCCCAAUAUCGGCUGAAUUGCUCUUUCGCCAGUAUUAGUCUGUCGGUAUAAGCUAAAAUUGUAGUAGUGUAAGCUAAUUCUUGAUUUACUGUAAUUAUUCCCUUAUCGGUUAAAACUUCAAAUCAUCAAAGAAAAUCAAAGCACUCUCUAAGAAUUUCACCCUUUAAGAGUGCAUUGAGGCAAACCUAAAAAAAUUCUUCUUCAUCAUCAUCUUGUCACGCUUCCUGAAUCCACCAUAGGAGAUUUUAGUUUGGCCCUCUGGAUGUCCUCUUUUAGGUCUUUACGCACCGCUUCUUGGGGCUUAUCACUUGAGCUCCCAAAGAUCACUCUCUUAGCUUCAGCAAAACUUCCGUCGUGAUCUCGUUUGCGUUUCCCUAGGAUCUCCAAGGCCUCCAGCUGUUUUUGCAUCUCUUUAGAAUAAGAAGUUACCAUCUUUGAUAACUUUUCAUUUUCUGCCUGCAAUAUUUGAAGCUAGCGUUGAUUCUCCUCUGCUGUUUUUUCCUCUUUUUUUUUUUUUCAAUCUUUUGAUCUCACGCCGAUAUUCAUCAACCAAAUUCUGCUCUGCCACAACUAAGCUCUCAGUACUUGCACCUCAUAAGAUUUUGCAAUGAGGCGAUGCCCCACACUUGUGAUAGUUGUCGCAUUUUGCAAGCACAGUGCCACAACAUUGCUCACUAACCGGUUGUCAUCCCCCGUUCCUAGUAUGCAUACAUCCCUGGGAGUCACCAAACUCUUCGCAACUCCAAUGGCAACCUCGUUGUCAAGGAGUAACGAGUCGCUUUUUGUCACUGGUCCUCGUGAAGAAGCAAAGUAGGGUAUCCAGACUGGUGCAACUCCUUGCCCCUAUGUCUGUGUUGGCGGAGCUAGGUUAAGAUCCAAAGAAGAUGAGAAGGGAUACGACAUUUUCUUUCUGCUUUCUUUUUCUUUCAUUUUCUCUCUUUUCUCUUUCUUCUUUCCUUUCUCUUUUCUUUCUUUCUUUUCUCUCUUCUGCGUGGUUGUAAUUCUUCUUUUUCCUUUGUUUCCUUUAAUAGAUGAACCCUAGCACCAUUGCACCGUCUAAUUUUUCCGCAUUCCUUGAGCUCCACAGCCUUCUCGCUUUCCACCGUCUACAACUUUGUCGCGACUUGUGCAACGUCGUCCCUACUAUCCAUGGCACCCAUAAUUCCGCUUGUAGAUUUGUCGUACCUCUGCGCGUCGACACAUGUCUCCUCUCUCUAGGGGUGGGCAUUGGAUUUGUGGUUCAAAUUGAUUUAGGGUUGAUUAAAAUAAAAUGGCAGCCCUAGAAACAGUGACCAGGUAUCUAUCCCAUAUGACAUAAAACAUUUAAAAACAUCCAUGGGACUAUAUUUAAAAAAUCAACUUGAUAAUGUUUAGUUGGAUUGUAUAAUGUGUUUUGUUUUGUUUUGUUGGAUUAUAAAAUGUUUAAGUUUCUGUUUUUUUGUUUAUUUAUAAAAUCAUCCAUGGGACUUCAUUUUCGGUUCAAGGUUCCAUUUUUUUAAGAAACCAGUCCAAAUCGGACCAUGCCCACCCCUACCUCUCUGUCUCUUUUUUUGCUUUGUUUUCCUUCUCUCUCUCUCUCUCUCUCUCUCUCUCUCUCUCUCUCUCUCUCUCUCUCUCUCUUCCUUAUAUAUUCUCUCCUCUCUCUGUUUUUUUAUUUAAAUUUUUUCAAUUGUGAGUUUUGUAACAUGCAUGUUAUUUUAUUUAUGAACCCAUUACACGACUCCAAACUCACACAAAAAAAGACGACCCGAACCCAAGAAGACAUGUUUAUUAAAUGGGUUAGAUUCGGGUUGAGCAUUCUUGACACGUUUGUUAAUUGGAUUGGGUUAAAUAAAUCAAUGACAGCAUAAAAUGAACACAGGGUUUGUGAAAAAUGUGAUAUUUUCAAUGACUAUAUUAAUAAAUCUUUAUUUUUUGAGUAGUUAGAUUUUUGCACAAAGCUUACCUUCCUCAACUGAUAGCUGCAUUGAUCUUUUGUCUAGCUCAACGGCGUGUCUGCUAAGCUCAGAUGGUGAUAAUUGACGAAGCGCUGGCAACAUGAUGAACGAAGAGCAUUUUCAGUGCUGGCAAAACUAAAGGCAGAAAAAUUGUAUGAAAUUUUUUAAAUUGAAAGAGCAGUGCCAUAAUAAAAUGACCUACUCUGGAUCUAUUCUCUCUGAUCAGAAUCAUCAAAUUGCUUCAAGAGGUUCUUGAAAUGUAGAAACCCUUCUGUCCUUUGCUCAUCAUGGUUCUUCUCAGAACCAACCAAGUGAGGAACCAGAGAUUCAGGAGUGAAUCUAAGUUGCCUGGAAUGAGCAGCUGGCAAUCCAUUGGAACAGGUGGUUUACCAGGUGAAAAAUCUACCGGAGAAGCCAAGGGCAUUGGUGCGAACGCAGAUGUCUCAUGUUCCUGCUUCUUGGUUCUGUCUCUAGGUAGGUCUUGCUGCUUUUGCAAACAAUAUCGUUUGAAAUUGAGAGAGUAAGUAUUUUGUUCUCACACCUUUAACUCUUCGCUUGCCUAAUGCUGAAUCUAACUUCCUCGCACUACCACCAUGCAUGAGCUGAUCACUUGCACUGCUGAUGCUCGUGAAUUGGUGACAAGGGGAGCUCCGUGGCAACUCAGGGUUGAGUAUCUUAGUUCCCAAAACCUUAAUGGGAUGCGCGACUGGUCGUCCUAGAAAAACAUACUUGUUAGGGUUAGAGGUCCAUCGGAGUAGUCAUUAGCUGCUAAUCAACCCGAGAGAGAGAGAGAGAGAGAGAGAGAGAGAGAGAGAGAGAGAGAGAGAGAGAGAGAGAGAGCAAAGAAGAAAUGUGGGGCGUGUUUUUUUUUUCCUAAUCUUAUAAUUAAGCGUGUGUUUUCUAAAUCGGGGCAUGUGAGUUGUAUUAGUCGGGUAAUGAGAGUAUUAAAAACUUUCGUUUAAUAUAAUUCAGUAAUUAAGUAAUACAAGUUGACAUCAAACAAAUGACAUUGACUAUUUACUCAUAUCCAUAGUCUAAUACCAUGUACCAAACAUACCUAUACGAGCUUUUGCCACAUGACUCAUCUAACAUGACAAUCCAAGUCCACAAACACAAGCAUACACACUAAGACAGGACACUCAUAUGCAUGUGAACUACAAGAACGACUGCAUAAUAUCUUGUAUAGAAACAAGACAAUACAACCGGCGCUUAUUACAUUGGAACUACAGUUCACAUUACAUACCAAAUUUAGUAUAACACAGAUAGGAAUUCAAACAUUUGACUUGGCAUAACCCUCAAAUGCUUGGCCUCACAUUGAGACGGGAUAAAAGCUUUUGACCCAGAGACUUAUCUGCCUGCAUUGCCAAUACAAGCACAUAACAUCAGAACAACAUGGCUUAUUCUAAAACUAACCCUUCAUAUUCCAGUAUCACAUCAUCACGUUGCUUAACGGUACAAAUUCACAAAUGCAAUAAUUUAUAAAUAGACUCACCUGAGACCAGUAUGAGAUCCAAAUGCUGCGAAUCUCAUGGGUGACACGAGGGUCUGAUAGGGCAUCCACCCAUCGGCGGAUGAAUCGCUCUUGCCUGCAUGAAGAUGCAAGAUUAAGAACAAUGUUUAAAUACAAUUAUUUUCAUACAGAGACAUCACAGGGUUGCCAGGUACCUGUCUGGCGCCCAAGAUCUGUAUCUCUCUCCAGGUUGCUUAAAGUUGUUCUCCUUCUCAAUGACGCACUGAAUAACCAAAACAAAGUUCCCAUAUGAAUUAUUAUGUGCAGAAAACAAGGAAAAUCCAGAAAUGCAAUCGGUGCAUAUGUAUACACACACACACCUACACUAGUGUAUGUGCCCAGGUGACAGAAAAAGGGACACAGCUGGAAGAAAAGAUGAUGUACAGACGAGACGGGGAAACUAAGGUAUAUUAUUUAAAGCAAUAUUCCUCAAUUGAUAGAAACUGACCUUCUCACGCUUUCCAGAAAGGAUAUUAGAAGGAAUGGGGUAGCGCUCAGCAUGACGAACAGGAUCAUGCCUUGAAGGGAAGUAAUUAACCUGAAAAUAACAGUAUAGCAACUCAUCAGAGAAAACUCAAAUGAAUAAACAUGCAUACAAUUGGAGUUGUCCUCCCAGAAUAUUGAGCAAUCGAAGUAUACAAGGGCCAAAGCGAUUCCAUAUGAGACAUAACAAUUGAGUAAAAUAAUAAUACCUCCUCAUCCCUGUGCAUGAAAUUCAUGAAUCCCUCAUGAUGAUUGUUAUGAUGAGGACACUUGGGAGCAUUCACUGGGAGCUGCAGAUAGUUCGGGCCAAGACGGUGCCUCUGAGUAUCAGAAUAUGCGAAGAUUCGAGUUUGGAGCAUCUUAUCAUCUGAAUAGUAGAUACCAGGGACAACAUGGGCAGGGUUAAACGCAAGUUGUUCAUUCUCUGCAAAGAAGUUAUCGAUGUUUUUAUUCAGAACCAAACGGCCAACUGGCUGCAGGGGAAGGAUAUCUUCAGGCCAGGUCUUAGUUAAGUCAAGAGGGUCAAAGUCAAAUCUGUCCUCGUGAUCAGGAUCCAUUGUCUGAAUAUAAAGUUUCCACUCAGGGUAGUUGCCAGCUGCAAUGGAAUCAUAGAGGUCCUUGGUAGCAUGGCUGUGAUUAGCUCCUCCAACCUUAAUAGCUUCAUCCUCCAACAAACACUUGACUCCACAAGUAGGUUUCCAAUGAAAUUUCACAUAGUGUACUUUCCCUGCCUUACUGAUGAGGGUAUAGGCGUGAACACUAGAGCCUUCCAUGUGCCUGUAAUCUUGUGGAACUCCCAGAUCAUCAUAAAAGAAGGCGAACGUGUGCAGGCUUUCUGGAAGGUGGGAGAAGAAGUCAAGGAUCCUCCAAGUCUCUUGGAUGUGCGACUUGGGGUUCGGUUUGAAAGCACGGAUCGCGUCCGGGAAUUUCAUUGCAUCACGGACAAAAAAGACGGGGAAAUUGUUUCCAACCAGGUCAAAAUUACCCUGCGUUUAAGAAGAACAAAGUCACCACAUGAGUAAUUACUACACAGCAAAAUUAACCCGAAUAAAUUCGUAUAUGGUGAAUAAUGCUACAUGAGCAAUCUAUUACAGCCAGACGACUACCCCCUAUAAUUUAAAGGAAAAUGAAAAGGCAGAGCUAAGAAAGGAAUGAAUGCAAUCUUUCAUUAAAGUCACGAGACUGCAAGAUUUCCAAUAACUAUAAUUAGUCAAAUAUGACUUGAGUACUUCAGAUUUUGUCACCACAGCCACCUCAGCUGCCACUACAGAUACCAAUACAAAUCCAUUAAAUAUGCCUACACUAUUGAGAAAAUAAAUAAAACAUUGAUAAUAUAUAGGUAAAAACCUCACCUCUCUGGUGUAAAACUUCACUGCAAAACCACGAGGAUCCCUCAGGGUUUCAGGGCUGCCACGCUCAUGGAUAACAGUGGAGAAACGCACAAUGACAGGUGUCUGAACACCAGGGGCUCGAAGGAAGUCAGCACAAGUAAGCUGAGAAAUAUCAUGAGUGACCUCAAAGAAUCCCUUUGCACUGGCUCCCCUAGCAUGGACAACACGCUCUGGGAUUCGUUCUCUAUCAAAGGUGGCAAGUUUCUCCACCAGAUGAUAGUCCUCAAGGAGAACUGGACCUGAAAAAUAGAAACAGAAAUUUAAUUCGGAACUGCACCGACUCAACUCAUCAUAUUUAAUCAUCUAGAUUACAUGCAAAAAUAGCAUAAAAAUGAAAUUAAUUGUUAUGCGUUCCAGAACAUAAAAUAAAGAUGACUGUUGCUCGGUUGCAAAUAUUUGUAAUUUUUAUUUACAUUUAGAAGGUAGGGUUUCAGCCAACCAGAUUAUCUUGACAACCCAAAAGGAGGCUGGAGGAAUUAAACGAGAACCAACAGAGCGGGACAAUCAUUUUUCAACUAAAGUAAGUAGAAAUUUUAAAAUAAAGGGUUUACUACUGAAAUACCCCUUGAAAUUGUAGCUCACUUUCAAUUAGCCCUCUAUUCUUUUUUUUUUAGAAAAUUAAGGAUAAGAAUUUUUUUUUUCGGCCAAUUUCCCCCUGCCGUCUAAAUCCUCAACAUUUCUUCUAAUUUUCUGUUAAAUAUGAGGGCAUAUUGGUCAUUUCAAACAUUAAAAAUAAUAAAUAUAGAAUUAAAAAUUAAAAAUUGAAAUAAUAAUGAUAUAUUCACCCUAUGUUUGACAGCCACCAACAUCACACCCUCUCUUCGAUCUCUUUCCCCCUCCUCUUCAACAUCCACCAACAUCACCAUCCUCCACCCUCUGUCUCUUCUCCCCCCAUAUGCCCAUCCCCUCCUCCUUCUCCCUCCCACUCUCUUUUUGCGUCUCUCUCUCCCGAUGCCAAGGUUACAGAGAGGAAAACAAAAUUUAAUAAUAAACAUAUUGAGAUGUUUUGGGUGCCUGUUUAGGAUUUUGAUCUUGAAUUUUUUUUCUUUGGUGGCUGUUUGGCUGUUUGGGUUUCCUGGGGAGUAAGGUGAGGUUAAUAAUAAAGAUCUUCAAAUUUUUUGUGUGGCUAUUUAGGGUUUUGAUCUUGAAUAUAAAUUUUUUUUUGGGUGGUGUUUGAGUUUUUUGGGAGGUGAGGUUAUGGAUGUCGAAGAAAGAGGGAGACAUAAGGAGGAGGGGGAGGGUGAAAGGUGGGGGAAGAGAGAAGAGAGGGUGGGAGACACACUUUGUAGAUAACGAAAGGACGAAAAACAAAAAAGAAGAUCAAAACCCUAAAGCGUAAGGGAAUAGGGCGACAAAGUGAGAGAGAAGGAGGCAGGAGGAGGUGAGUCGGGGUGGGGCUGGUUGACCUCGGGAGAAGCAUCGGGCAGAGGAGGAGGGGGAGAAGAAAACCAGAGGGGAGGGGGAAGAAAAAAAACUGAUGAGAUAAGGUUUUAUUUUGUGUUAUCUUUUUCUUCUUUUUUCAAUUUUUUUUAAUGAUUUAAUAAAAAAUUGGAUAAAAUGUUGAGAUGUAGACCGCAGGGGAAAAUUAGCCAAAAAAAGAAAUUCAUAUCCUUAAUUUUCUAUAUAUAUAUAAAUAAAUAAAUAACAGAUAAGGGGUUAAUCGAAAAGGAUCAGCUUCAAAUACAAGAUAUAUAAGUAUAUAUAUACAUAUCUUAAAUCCCACAAGCGUUUCCAAAGAUUAAUCAUCCUCAACCUGGUAGUGGGCGGGAAUAACAUCCAAAAAGCAGUUUACAUCUCAUAAUCACAUGAAUAUCAAAAUCUUGUUCAAAAAAGUUGAGAAAACCAUCACAAAAAUUCAAAACCCAGGUAAGCGAAGAACCUAUGAUAACAAAGAUAAAUAUAUGCACACAAAUAGUGAACAGCAUCAUAAGAUAGAUAGAUGAUGAAGCGCAACUAAAAAUAAAAAAUAAAAAAACUGGGUUGCAAUUGAAAGCCCAGGAUCAAUCAACGAAGAGUUGUGAUGAAUUACCUCUAGGUCCAACAGUCAAAGAAGAGUCGUUGUUCCAAACUGGAGCACCGGCGUUUGUGGUCCAGUAUGGGGAAUCAAAAGCACUUGAAGGGCGGUGCUGCAACAUACACAACGAAAAUGAAACAAGACCAUGAUGAGCUAAAAGAACAACAAACACAAAAUUUCGAGCACGCUUAAAUAUGACCAAUCUGAUUGAUCAAGAAGAUUAAUUCACCAAGAAAUCAAACUUAAACAAAUCAAGAAAUAUUGAGAUUAGGACAGGGAAAUGAGUACCUUGUAAGGAUCCAUGGAGAGAGAGAUGGGGAGAAGAAGAAGGGAGUUUGAUAAGAAGGUGAGAGAGCAGAGAUAAGCCACUCAAAAGGAGGGUCCUGUGGCAAAUGAGAAUUGAAGAGUGACAUGUGAAAUAGGGGAAUUUAUAAACACUUGGGGGUCGUGGAAGGUCCCUCGCGCUUAUGUGCAAAUUACCAAUCUCAGCUGGUUAUCUUUAUCCAAACACAGUGGAAGGUCAACAGAAGAGAAAACAUAUCUUUGCCAAUUUAGCGUCGCGAGUCAGAACGAUUCCCGCCAAACCUUUCAAUUGAAAAGUAAAAAUGAGUAAAAAGGAGUAGAAACACCAUAAUUGACUGUGUAAUUAUAAAAUAUAUGGAAUCGUCUUUUUAUUUUUCAAAUUUUGUGAACAUAUUAUCGCUAAAUAAUUAACACAAAAAUUGAUUUAAAUAUAAUGUUGUUUUAUCUAAUGAGUAUUUCAAACUUGUAAUUAAUGCUAACUAUUUUUUAUAUUAUUUUUUUAAUAUAAAUGGACCAAUUUAAAAAAAAAAAAAAAAAAAGCUACAGCAUUUAUGACUCUAAAUUUGAGAGUAUGGUUGGAGCUGAAAUUUUUUAAAGAGCUCCUAAAAUAGCUUUUUUGUAUUCUUACCUAAAUUUUAGCUAAAAAAUAGAGAACAUCAUUAUGGAUGCUCUAACUAUAGAGAUUUGAUUGAAACAAUUAAAAACAUUUCACGGCGAACAACAAUGGCAGGGCAAAAUGCAAAUUAUUAAUUUGACUAUUGUUCUUUGUUUGUACCAUAUAUGACUCUCCGCUCACAUCAUGACACGUGGAAAGCAAACGAGGUUAAGACCAACCCUGUGAAGCAGGGCCGAAUAGGCCAAUUCGACAUGAAUCGGCAUACACCACCGAUUCAUACAUGUUCUUCAAUUGGUAAGUGCUCUGGACUGCCCCCUUAAACAAACCUUCAGUACCUGAUGUCGAAUGACCUCAAGGGCGCCAUCAGCACGACUGGCCGAUCAUACAAGACAACCUCGAAGCUCUCGCUAAAGCAUGUUGGGAUGCGUGUCAACCAUUAAAGACACUCUCACAAGUCCUACAUCGAAACUAAGUGCUAAGUGAUCACCCAACACCCUGAAUAAAUAAGGCCUCUGGCCCCAGCCACAGGGUAAAACUUUCUACUUGAACUGUGCUCCCACAUUCAGUACUUAGCUCUUAGUCACUAACUUUGGCAUCAGAGGGUCUUCGCCCGAGACCAUACCGGUGCUCAAGACCUCACCUGCCGUUUCUCUCUUCAGCUUGAUUCCAGCAUCAUGAUCCAAGGAAGGACGCCACGGUCCGAAGGCCCCUCCUGUCCAAACCAUCCAUAUAACUUGUAAGUUAGCCCUAUAACUAUUUGUUUAGUUUUAACGCUAACAUUCUUAAUUGAAUUAUUAAUUUUUUGUUAAUCUUUUAUUUUACUUAAGAAAAAAAAAAUUCAUUUGUAUAUCUCACAUUAUCAUUGAACUGGAUUCAAGACAAUCAAUUUAACAACAAAUUCCGAAUCUCCAUAUUUAGGAUCUGUGCAUUUAACCACAUUUUGUGAAAUUCCGCUCAAAUAAUCUAACCAUUUAAUAUAGGACACAUCAUCAAUCUUUAACCUAAGAUUUUUUUGUUAACUUUAAAGGUAACAUGCUUGAGGGAGAUACUUUUUUCAUCAUGCUUCCUCCUUGAAAAAACUGUAAAUAAAAUUAAUUUAUUGCUAUUUACCUCCAGUUUAUAGAUCGAACCCUAAGCACAAAGUGAACUUCAGAACUUUGAUUUUCUAGUCACAAAAAUCGAGCAAAUUAUGUAAUUAAGAAAUAACAUAUAUUACGAUGAAUUAAAAAAACCCCUCAAGCACGUUUACUUUAAUGUUAACAUCAAUUUUUGAAAAGAAAAAAAAAAGGACUUUAACUUAAAGAUUAAUUAAUGAUGUGUCAUAUAAGUAGUUAGAUAUUUAGUUUAAAUUUUACGAAAUGCAAAUAAAUGCACAGAUUCUAAAUAUAAAAAUUCGAUAUUCAUAUGCCAUAAAUAUCACUUUAUGAUUGAAAAUCCAGAAUAUUAAACUAAAAUUAUAUUUCUUCACAAAAAUUGCAUCUAAACAUGAGGAUAAAAUGAUGUUCAUCCAUACAUUGAACAAGCACAAUAUAUCGUGAAGAUAUUUGAUAUAUUGAAAACCUCGCCCAUAUAAUACAUUCAUGUAGGAAGGCUGAAUGAUGGGACCAACAAAGAAUUAUGUCAUAAAUUUUUAGGGUCAUAUUAGGGAGAUUAACUUUAGAUAAUAACUUGUGUGUCAUCUCUCUAAUAGAGGUAGAACCCACCAAUAAAAUGGAUCUCACAAUUUAUUAGAGAGAUGAUAUACAAGUUGGUAUCUAAAGCUGGUCUCCCUAACAUUUUUCUUAUUUUUAUUGACAAAAACUUCAACGACAAAAAAAAAAAAAAAAAACAAGAAAAAGGCCUAGAAAAUUAUUAUUAUUGUUAUAAAAUAAUUGGAAUAUGUGCGAGAAUGUUAAUCUGCACGUAAAGUAAAUGAGACACAAUAUUUAACGAGGUUCAGCCUUGCUUAGUACUCGGAAAACAACAACAGUAACUUUUCCACUAUGUAAAAUAAUAAAGCUAUAACUUUAAUGUUUAUAAUAUAUGUGACCCGCUAAUCUUUCUCUCUUAAAAAUUUCUCCCUGCUCUCUUUUCUCUCCAUCACUUACCCGCUUUCUUUCCUCCUCUUCUUUAUUUUCUUCCUUUCCUAUCAGCAUGGGCUCUCUUCUUCUCAGAUGAUUGGUUGUCUCACCCAUUUGCACAAGAGGGUAGCCUUGGCAAGCAAGAAUGACACCAAGUGUGCAAUAAACUAAUGCACCAAAGUCCCCACACAAAUAGUAAGUGGGCUUCACAUCACAUGGGUACUCUUUACAGCAAUUAUCAUAAUCGUGGUGGGAAUUCCACGAUUGAAAAUAAUUGAGCACGUGAUGCAUUCAUCAUGCCUUAUCCAGAUCUUGGAGCUUUGCUAACGCUUAGGCGCAAUCACUUAUGGCAGUGGAUAUGCUUGAAGUUUAUAAAAACAGACAAAAUAAAUAAAUAAAAAACUGGAAGAGGCUAUUUUUCGGUGUCGUUUGUGUGAAAGCUGCCGAAAACAGGAAAUAUGCUGAUAAGGUUAGAAGGGGCCCGAGCUCAGAUUAGGCACAAAGAGUGCCACUCUCUGGGCCCACUUCAAAUUUGGAUACAUAAAAAACGAAGAAGAAAAAUCAACGAACUCUGGGCUCGCUCAAUGUCUUUUUCUACAGGAUUUCUUCUUUGUUACUUGUCAAUACUGAUAUUGUAAAGUAAAGAAUGUGGAGCCCACAAAUAAUAGAACCUAAUUGAUUGAAGAUGAAUAAUGGUAAAGCUUGUCUGCCAACACUCACGUGAAGUCAAAAAAAUAUGAGUAAGCAGCCACAGAAUUCUGACUACAAGCAAGGCUUUCCCCCUUUCUUCAACAAACAUACCAUCUGAGAAGAAAUGAGAGUCCAUAUAAAGAAUAAAGAAAGGAAGGAAAGAAAGAGGGUGAAUGAGUAGAGAGAAAAUGAGAGCAGAGAGAUAUUUUUUAAGAGAGAAGUCACAUAUAUUAUAAAUAUUAAAAUUAUAGUCUUAUUUUUUAUAUAUUGAAAAAGUUAUUGCUGUUGUUCUUUGAGGACGUAGACAAGGGAACUAUGAGAUCAAGGAAGCUUCGAGUUAUACUCAUAUGACCAUACUUCUUGUUCUUCAUGCAUAAAACAUAUUCAAGUUCCAUGUUCAAGACUUGACAUCUAAUCAUUAUAGUGAUCAUCUAAAAAAAAAAAAAAAUUUAAAAAAAAAAACGUAACUAGGCCUUGAUGCAAUAAGAACUUUAGCAUUAGCUUCAUGUAUGUAGGAAAAGUAGCAAAUAAUUUCAAUUGUAAAUUUUAAUGUGGAAGCGUAGAAACGAGUACAAACAUUUGGAAGUAAACACGUUACCAUAAUAAUGUUGGUGUAACAACAAUUAGAAGGGUUGCAAUUAUAUAAUAAAUAUUUAUUCUUUGAGUACGUUACCAACAUCUGUUAUAAUGGAUAAAAAUGGUUGCAUAGGCCAGUUGAUGAGGACAGUAUGUACCCUCGUUACUCAAGUUUGAAUCUUCCUCUAGUUUUAUUACUUGUACAAAUAAAUAAAUAAACAAAAUGGUUUGUCUAAAAUAACUGGUCUCACCAAAAUUAAAGCAAUUACAUUACAACAUCUUCUGCCGUGGAAAAAACACACAAAACAUAAAAGAAAAAUAAAAAGAGAGAGAUAACAAAUUAUACUGGUAAGAGUAGACUACCUCCUGUUGCUCUUGUUGGAGGGGAAAAAGCAGUGAGGGGCAUAUUACAGUAGAAGAGUCAGCAUCAACUUCACAGCUAACAAUUCCCAAGCUUUAAAGUAAGCUCAAGGUAUUUGGGAGAGUUCAUUCUGCUGGCCAUCACCAAAACCAGAGUAUUUUGAAUCUUUAAUCGCUUUCCACUUGUUGCACUGAACACGCUCAAAUUGCCUAUAAAAAAUUGCUUGUCAUUGAAGACUUCCCCAAUAUAUUUAGAGCCAUCAUCCUUUGGAUCUCUUUUGCUGCAUGAUGCAUUGAUCACUAGAGUUAAAUAAAUCAAUGACAGAGCCAUAAAAUGAACACAGGGUUUGUGAAAAAGGUGAUAUUUUCAAUGACUAUAUUAAUAAAUAUUUAUUCUUUGAGUAGUUAGAUUUUUGCAUAAAGCUUACCUUCCUCAACUGAUAGCUGCAUUGAUCUUUUCUCUAGCUCAACGGCAUGUCUGCUAAGCUCAGAUGGCGAUAAAUAACGAAGCGCUGAUAACAUUAUGAACAAAGAGCAUUUUCAGUGCUGGCAAAAUUAAAGGCAGAAAAGUAGGUACGAAAUUUUUAAAAUUGAAACAGCAAUGCCAUAAUAC